AACGAACGCUGGCGGCAGGCCUAACACAUGCAAGUCGAACGCCGUAGCAAUACGGAGUGGCAGACGGGUGAGUAACACGUGGGAACGUACCCUUCGGUUCGGGAUAACUCAGGGAAACUUGAGCUAAUACCGGAUACGUCCGAGAGGAGAAAGAUUUAUUGCCGAGGGAUCGGCCCGCGUCUGAUUAGCUUGUUGGUGAGGUAACGGCUCACCAAGGCGACGAUCAGUAGCUGGUCNGAGAGGAU
RNAcentral lists this ribosomal RNA (245 nucleotides) under uncultured bacterium. Its description in RNAcentral is "partial 16S ribosomal RNA". It matches the Rfam family "Bacterial small subunit ribosomal RNA", at positions 29 to 301 of the family's 1533-position model. The record is from RNAcentral.